GAUUAGAGGGAGAGAGAAGAGGAGAGAGCCAAGGAGGAGCCGGGUCUGUCGGAUCUUCUUCAACAUUAUAUAUUUGCAGCAACCAGUUCAUCUUUGGUUAAUCUCCAGGUACUUUAAUUCUAUAAUUUCUAAGUUUUUAUUUAAUAUCCAUAUUUACUUUUAAGUUAUUUAUUGGAUUUUCGCUCGCAUCGAGUACUCUAGUUCUUAGCGGCGCUAGAGUAGUAAUUAAUAGGUUAAGUGUGGUGCUUAGUCUUGAUAUUACCUGGAUUUGCACCCAAUCUAGCGUAUUGUUGUGGUAGCCCUAGGAUCGUGACAGUCCUGACGGCCAACGCAUUCCACCACGUUCGGAUUGGUGUUGUUGGACCGUAGUCAGAGCUUCCUAGCCCCUAUCUCAUCUCUUUUUGUGGUUAGUGUUCUGAUGUCCCAAGAUAAGUAACCUUAGAGUAAAUUAUGAUUCCUAGAUCAACCUAUAGAACUCUUAGGAAAAUUCCUCUCUACCCUACAAAAUUAUAAAUAUAGUUAUCCUUGGGCGAUCUAAAUCUUAACUAGUACACUUCGCGUCCCCCGUGGAAAAUCGAUAUCUUGGAAUACUCCCGGGUGAAAGCUACAUCAGUAUCCGUACACUUGUGGAUUUUUCUGUGUGUGUUUAAAAUAUCCAACAAUGUUCAUGCAUAUAAUGUCCUAAUGGGAUAUUGUACAUUGAUUGAGCCAAAAUUUAGACUACAUGUAUUGUUUACCAAGAUUUAUACACCAUAUCUACAAUUUAUUUUUGUGACAUGGAUUAACACACAAGGUAGCUAAUACUCCCUCCAUUCAUUUAUCUCCAUCAUUUUAGCCUUCAGCGCAAUGACCAAGAAACAAAGCAAAAAACACUCACUUUACAUUUAAUCUCCCAGGUUGAGCGCACAUGAGGAGUCACAUGCAAGAAACAACCAAUAAACGGCAAAGAGGCAAUAAAUGCAGGUGAGUGGUAGCAAAUGAGUAACAAGGGAGCAAUAAAUGUAGGCAACUUCCAAGCUAACAUAAAGAAGAUUUUUGAAUAAAAAAUUUUUGCUUAGAUGAAGGAGAUAAAUGAAUGGAGG
RNAcentral lists this long non-coding RNA (1082 nucleotides) under Sorghum bicolor (sorghum). Its description in RNAcentral is "long non-coding RNA (SBIC_LNC012982)". The record is from RNAcentral. Lineage: Eukaryota; Viridiplantae; Streptophyta; Magnoliopsida; Poales; Poaceae.